RNAcentral lists this ribosomal RNA (380 nucleotides) under uncultured cyanobacterium. Its description in RNAcentral is "bacterial SSU rRNA". It matches the Rfam family "Bacterial small subunit ribosomal RNA", at positions 376 to 770 of the family's 1533-position model. The record is from RNAcentral. Lineage: Bacteria; Bacillati; Cyanobacteriota.
CGAAAGCCUGACGGAGCAAGACCGCGUGGGGGAGGAAGGCUCUAGGGUUGUAAACCCCUUUUCUUUGGGAAGAACAAAAUGACGGUACCUGAGAAAUCAGCCUCGGCUAACUCCGUGCCAGCAGCCGCGGUAAUACGGAGGAGGCAAGCGUUAUCCGGAAUUAUUGGGCGUAAAGCAUCCGCAGGUGGCGAUUCAAGUCUGCUGUCAAAGCACGGGGCUUAACUCCGUAAAGGAAGUGGAAACUGAAUAGCUAGAGUGCCGUAGGGGUAGAGGGAAUUCCCGGUGUAGCGGGGACAUGCGUAGAGAUCGGGAAGAACAUCGGUGGCGAAAGCGCUCUACUGGACGGCAACUGACACUCAGGGACGAAAGCUAGGGGAGCG